CCUACGGGUGGCAGCAGUGAGGAAUAUUGGUCAAUGGCCGGGAGCCUGAACCAGCCAAGUCGCGUGAGGGAAGACGGCCCUACGGGUUGUAAACCUCUUUUGUCAGGGAGCAAGGUGCAGGUCGGGCCCUGCUGUGCGCGUACCUGAAGAAAAAGCAUCGGCUAACUCCGUGCCAGCAGCCGCGGUAAUACGGAGGAGUCGAGCGUUAUCCGGAUUUAUUGGGUUUAAAGGGUGCGCAGGCGGAGGCACAAGUCAGCGGUAAAAUCGCGGGGCUCAACCCCGCUCCGCCGUUGAAACUGUGUCCCUUGAGUGCGCGAAGGGUAGGCGGAAUGCGUGGUGUAGCGGUGAAAUGCAUAGAUAUCACGCAGAACUCCGAUCGCGAAGGCAGCCUACCGGCGCGCAACUGACGCUCAUGCACGAAAGCGUGGGUAUCGAACAGGAUUAGAUACCCUUGUAGUC
Molecule: ribosomal RNA, 459 nt
Filed under: uncultured bacterium
Lineage: Bacteria
Description: partial 16S ribosomal RNA
Rfam family: Bacterial small subunit ribosomal RNA
Source: RNAcentral